RNAcentral lists this small RNA (82 nucleotides) under Escherichia coli. RNAcentral's name for it is "partial RtT sRNA". It matches the Rfam family "RtT RNA", at positions 51 to 130 of the family's 130-position model. From Rfam's summary of the family: This family represents a bacterial cis-regulatory element known as RtT RNA. The record is from RNAcentral. Lineage: Bacteria; Pseudomonadati; Pseudomonadota; Gammaproteobacteria; Enterobacterales; Enterobacteriaceae.
AGCGCCAGCGAGAGAGCGUUGCCGCAGGCAACGACCCGAAGGGCGAAGCGCGCAGCGUUGAGUAAUCCUUCCCCCACCACCA